RNAcentral lists this transfer RNA (31 nucleotides) under Gonopterodendron bonariense. Its description in RNAcentral is "Bulnesia bonariensis partial tRNA-Leu". Lineage: Eukaryota; Viridiplantae; Streptophyta; Magnoliopsida; Zygophyllales; Zygophyllaceae. The record is from RNAcentral.
AAAAUCCGUUGAUUUUAUAAAUCGUGAGGGU